UGGUGAUAAUGAGGACAACUAAUUAUUAAAGAUUUGAACCUGUCCCAAGCUUAGUAUAAAUUUUCACCUGAAUUCUGUUUAAAGCUUAUAUUCUCAGCUCUUAGCUU
Small nucleolar RNA from Solanum dulcamara, 107 nucleotides. The record is from RefSeq and is a predicted model, not a curated record. NCBI's taxonomy places the organism in Eukaryota, Viridiplantae, Streptophyta, Magnoliopsida, Solanales, Solanaceae.